AGUGAACGCUGGCGGUAGGCCUAACACAUGCAAGUCGAACGGCAGCACAGUAAGAGCUUGCUCUUACGGGUGGCGAGUGGCGGACGGGUGAGGAAUACAUCGGAAUCUACUUUUUCGUGGGGGAUAACGUAGGGAAACUUACGCUAAUACCGCAUACGACCUACGGGUGAAAGCAGGGGAUCUUCGGACCUUGCGCGAUUGAAUGAGCCGAUGUCGGAUUAGCUAGUUGGCGGGGUAAAGGCCCACCAAGGCGACGAUCCGUAGCUGGUCUGAGAGGAUGAUCAGACACACUGGAACUGAGACACGGUCCAGACUCCUACGGGAGGCAGCAGUGGGGAAUAUUGGACAAUGGGCGCAAGCCUGAUCCAGCCAUACCGCGUGGGUGAAGAAGGCCUUCGGGUUGUAAAGCCCUGUUGUUGGGAAAGAAAAGCAGCAGGUUAAUACCCCGCUGUUCUGACGGUACCCAAAGAAUAAGCACCGGCUAACUUCGUG
RNAcentral lists this ribosomal RNA (492 nucleotides) under uncultured bacterium. RNAcentral's name for it is "partial 16S ribosomal RNA". It matches the Rfam family "Bacterial small subunit ribosomal RNA", at positions 29 to 507 of the family's 1533-position model. The record is from RNAcentral.